RNAcentral lists this ribosomal RNA (631 nucleotides) under uncultured fungus. Its description in RNAcentral is "eukaryotic LSU rRNA". The stretch from base 231 to 384 matches the Rfam family "5.8S ribosomal RNA". Lineage: Eukaryota; Fungi. The record is from RNAcentral.
UGGCCGCGGGAUUCUUGGUCAUUUAGAGGAAGUAAAAGUCGUAACAAGGUCUCCGUUGGUGAACCAGCGGAGGGAUCAUUACCGAGUUUACAACUCCCAAACCCCUGUGAACAUACCACUUGUUGCCUCGGCGGAUCAGCCCGCUCCCGGUAAAACGGGACGGCCCGCCAGAGGACCCCUAAAACUCUGUUUCUAUAUGUAACUUCUGAGUAAAACCAUAAAUAAAUCAAAACUUUCAGCAACGGAUCUCUUGGUUCUGGCAUCGAUGAAGAACGCAGCAAAAUGCGAUAAGUAAUGUGAAUUGCAGAAUUCAGUGAAUCAUCGAAUCUUUGAACGCACAUUGCGCCCGCCAGUAUUCUGGCGGGCAUGCCUGUUCGAGCGUCAUUUCAACCCUCAAGCACAGCUUGGUGUUGGGACUCGCGUUAAUUCGCGUUCCUCAAAUUGAUUGGCGGUCACGUCGAGCUUCCAUAGCGUAGUAGUAAAACCCUCGUUACUGGUAAUCGUCGCGGCCACGCCGUUAAACCCCAACUUCUGAAUGUUGACCUCGGAUCAGGUAGGAAUACCCGCUGAACUUUAAGCAUAUCAAUAAGCGGAGGAAAAGAAACCAACAGGGAUUGCCCCAGUAACGGCG